RNAcentral lists this long non-coding RNA (814 nucleotides) under Cavia porcellus (domestic guinea pig). RNAcentral's name for it is "lncRNA (ENSCPOG00000039872.1)". Lineage: Eukaryota; Metazoa; Chordata; Mammalia; Rodentia; Caviidae. The record is from RNAcentral.
GAAGCUCUGCUUAUGAAACACAGGCAUCACCAAAGCCAAGCACAGGGCCCCCUGCCCACUGGAACAGCUUCCCACGCUGCUGGAAUCGCUGUUUCUAGGGACCCUGUCCUGUCCUCUCCUCUCCUGUCCGCUCCUUUCACCUCACCUCUCUUCCUCCCUCUGCUUUCCCUGCUGCCUCUUCCUCCUGGCCUCCUCUCCUCCUGCCUCUGCCCUCUUCUCCUGUUCCCUCUGUCUUUCCCUUCCCAGAUGGGCAUCCGAGUCCCUGGUGACUCAGCUCGCCUGUGUCUCCCCAGGCAGGUGCAUCUGGUUCAGUCACAUUAAAAAUAUAUCCAUUGGCCACACGCAGUUGACGCUUCAAUCUGUUCCCUGCCUCUGCUUUCCAGGAACAGGCUACUCAAAACCCAAAGGAGGGCUGGUGAGACCAGAGAAGAAGAGGCACAGACUCUGGGGCCCAGGCCUUCCAAGCCCACACGUCACACUUCACCACGCGCUCAGAAAGGAAUCAUCAGCACGCCCAGGGUCAUCCGUCUCUUUUGAAUUACAAGAAGAAAGAAGGAGAAGAAUGAGGAAGAGGAGAGGAGGUGGCACAGGGGAACAAGGCACCGAUGACAAAAGCCACUUGCAGGGUCUGGAGGGGAAGGCAGGGCCCUUUCUGGGGCCCCCUAGUUGCACCUGCUUGCUCAGCCCACACCUCAUGACACCAAUCCUGCCUUCCUGCGCACCACAGGGAUGGGGAACUUCCCACCCCUGGAGAGGAGCAGCCGCAGAGGUGGGAACAGGAAGGAGAUGGGGGUCUGGGGUCACACUGGCGUGA